This 625-nucleotide ribosomal RNA is filed under the name uncultured fungus. RNAcentral describes it as "eukaryotic LSU rRNA". The stretch from base 307 to 460 matches the Rfam family "5.8S ribosomal RNA". The record is from RNAcentral. Lineage: Eukaryota; Fungi.
CUGUGAACUUGUUUUAAUCGCCCUGCCGUCUACAUGAAUUGAAGGAGUUAAGAUAAUGAAAUGGGAAUCGAAUUCGUUCGGUUCAGUCUUAACGAACUAACUUGUGCCUGCAAUAUGGUACAGACAAUUGUAGUAGUACGGUCAGGUCAACCUUUCUGCUUGAAACUUCUCCUUUCAUGAAGUUUCGGGUGGAAUCAAUUCAACACAUAUUUCACCACCUUUUUGCUAGUUGACUUUUAUAUGUUGUCUUCUUCAUACUUCGGUAUUGAGGAAUUCACACGUUUAUUAAUUGAACGUUAAAUGUACAACUCUUAGCAAUGGAUAUCUUGGUUCUCGCAACGAUGAAGAACGCAGCGAAAUGCGAUACGUAAUGCGAAUUGCAGAAUUCAGUGAAUCAUCAAAUCUUUGAACGCAAAUUGCGCUCUUGGGUAGCCCUAGGAGCACGCCUCUCUCAGUAUCGGUUCAACAACCUCUCAGCAGCGUAUAUGUGUCAAAACAUAUAGGCGAUGGCUGGAAAAUGAGAGUCUGAUUUUCACGAAUCAGUCUCUUGAAAUACAUCGAGUGAGUUUAUCAUAUACCCUAACGCGUGUUUCGGCACAAGCUAGUCUUCGACUGGUUGUAUGGG